This 148-nucleotide non-coding RNA is filed under the name Nomascus leucogenys (northern white-cheeked gibbon). Lineage: Eukaryota; Metazoa; Chordata; Mammalia; Primates; Hylobatidae. The record is from Rfam by way of RNAcentral.
GCCAGGCAUGGUGGCAUGUGCCUGUAAUCCCAGCUACUUGGGAGGCUGAGGCAGGAGAAUUGCUUGAACCCAGGAAGUGGAAGUUGCAGUGCGCUGAGAUCCCGCCACUGCACUCCAGCCUGGGUGACAGAGCAAGACUCUGUCUCCA